GGUCUAGAGUUUCACCGCCUAUCUUCGG
RNAcentral lists this small RNA (28 nucleotides) under Arabidopsis thaliana (thale cress). Its description in RNAcentral is "ATSL028910". Lineage: Eukaryota; Viridiplantae; Streptophyta; Magnoliopsida; Brassicales; Brassicaceae. The record is from RNAcentral.